GUUCAAACUCUCUCUCUCUCAAAUUUCAAAGUUCAAACUCUCUCAACCUCCACCUCUAGCAUACUCAACUCAAACCCAUCAGCAAAAACAAAGAAAAAACCUUAGCUCACCAGAGAUCCCGACACCCAUACACGCAUCCUUUUUUAACCCAGAUCAGAGAGAGAGUAAGGGUUGGGGUUUGGAGAGAAUUGGGUGUAGAGAGAGACAUUGAUGCUUUUCAGACCCAAAUCAGAGAAGGUUAGGGUUUGGGUUUGGAGAAAAUCGGGAAAGAGAGAAGUUGAUGAUCUUUCAGGUUUGAUCUAUGGAGGGAAAGAGAUUUUGGUCGAAGGAGAGAAAAAGCCACCAUCGGAGGUGGUGGUUGCGGUGAGCCAGCCUUGCCGAUUUGGUUCAGACCCAAAUCAGAGAAGGUUAGGGUUUGGGUUUGGGGAAAAUUGGGAAAGAGAGAAGUUGAUGCUCAAUCUCCAUGGCUAUCGCUAGCAGCCACCGUGUUCCGCUCCACCAAUUCCGGCGUGGUUCCAAUUGUUCUUGGCUGAGCUUCAUCUUGCAACCACCCUACUGCAGGCAGCGGUGCAUAUAGACGGUGUUUACACCAUUGGUGGCCGCUGGGCUUCGAGUAACAAUUGAUUGCAAGCCAAAAAAUGGACACUUAAAGACAAGAGGGGUAGGGAAACUCGAUGAAGAAGGAAAGUUCAAA
Molecule: long non-coding RNA, 694 nt
Organism: Quercus robur (English oak)
Lineage: Eukaryota; Viridiplantae; Streptophyta; Magnoliopsida; Fagales; Fagaceae
Exons: 3
Source: RefSeq, a predicted model, not a curated record